This is a transfer RNA of Caenorhabditis elegans, 75 nucleotides long. The record is from Ensembl. NCBI's taxonomy places the organism in Eukaryota, Metazoa, Nematoda, Chromadorea, Rhabditida, Rhabditidae.
GCCCGGUUAGCUCAGUCUACCGACUGCACCAGACUCUUAAUCUGGUUGUCGUGGGUUCGAGUCCCGCAUUGGGCU